GGCGAACGGGUGAGUAACACGUGGGCAACUGCCCCGGACACCGGGAUAACCCAGGGAAACCUGAGCUAAUACCGGAUACUCCGGCGUGAUCGCAUGGUCGCGCCGGGAAAGCUCCGACGGUCCGGGAUGGGCCCGCGGCUAUCAGCUUGUUGGUGGGGUAACGGCCCACCAAGGCGACGACGGGUAGCUGGUCUGAGAGGACGGCCAGCCACACUGGGACUGAGACACGGCCCAGACUCAAUACGGGAGGCAGCAGUGGGGGAUCUUGCGCUAAUGCGCGAAAGCGUGACGCAGCGACGCCGCGUGGGGGAUGAAGGCCCUCGGGUCGUAAACCCCUUUCGGCAGGGACGAAGGGAAACUGACGGUACCUGCAGAAGAAGUCCCGGCUAACUACGUGCCAGCCGCCGCGG
This 410-nucleotide ribosomal RNA is filed under the name uncultured bacterium. RNAcentral describes it as "bacterial SSU rRNA". It matches the Rfam family "Bacterial small subunit ribosomal RNA", at positions 97 to 520 of the family's 1533-position model. The record is from RNAcentral.